This 73-nucleotide transfer RNA is filed under the name Helicobacter sp. CLO-3. It matches the Rfam family "tRNA". From Rfam's summary of the family: Transfer RNA (tRNA) molecules are approximately 80 nucleotides in length. Their secondary structure includes four short double-helical elements and three loops (D, anti-codon, and T loops). Further hydrogen bonds mediate the characteristic L-shaped molecular structure. tRNAs have two regions of fundamental functional importance: the anti-codon, which is responsible for specific mRNA codon recognition, and the 3' end, to which the tRNAs corresponding amino acid is attached (by aminoacyl-tRNA synthetases). tRNAs cope with the degeneracy of the genetic code in two manners: having more than one tRNA (with a specific anti-codon) for a particular amino acid; and 'wobble' base-pairing, i.e. permitting non-standard base-pairing at the 3rd anti-codon position. The record is from Rfam by way of RNAcentral. Lineage: Bacteria; Pseudomonadati; Campylobacterota; Epsilonproteobacteria; Campylobacterales; Helicobacteraceae.
GAUCGCGUAGCUCAGCUGGUAGAGCACUACCUUGACAUGGUAGGGGUCGUUGGUUCAAGUCCAAUCGUGAUCA